RNAcentral lists this small RNA (115 nucleotides) under Providencia rustigianii. Its description in RNAcentral is "RtT sRNA". It matches the Rfam family "RtT RNA". Rfam says of the family: This family represents a bacterial cis-regulatory element known as RtT RNA. The exact function of RtT is unknown although it is thought that it may be involved in changing the cellular response in relation to amino acid starvation. The record is from RNAcentral. Lineage: Bacteria; Pseudomonadati; Pseudomonadota; Gammaproteobacteria; Enterobacterales; Morganellaceae.
AUAUUGCACGUUGAGUGUAGGUGAGAAGCUGCGUUCAGGUUCGAGCCGAGCGAAGCGAGACAGCGUUGCGCUUGCUGCAACGACCCGAAGGACUUAAAUCCUGCACGACCCAUCA